This 235-nucleotide ribosomal RNA is filed under the name uncultured bacterium. RNAcentral describes it as "partial small subunit ribosomal RNA". It matches the Rfam family "Bacterial small subunit ribosomal RNA", at positions 26 to 288 of the family's 1533-position model. The record is from RNAcentral.
AGGACGAACGCUGGCGGUGUGCUUCACACAUGCAAGUCGAACGAGGUAGCAAUACCUAGUGGCGGACGGGUGAGUAACGCGUGGGAAUCUGCCUUUAGAUGGGGGAUAACGGUUCGAAAGAGUCGCUAAUACCGCAUAUGACGAAAGUUGAAAGGAGUAAUCCGUCUGAAGAUGAGCCCGCGUCCGAUUAGCUAGUUGGCGGGGUAAUGGCCCACCAAGGCUUCGAUCGGUAGCC